AUUGAACGCUGGCGGCAGGCCUAACACAUGCAAGUCGAGCGGAUGACGGGAGCUUGCUCCUUGAUUCAGCGGCGGACGGGUGAGUAAUGCCUAGGAAUCUGCCUGGUAGUGGGGGACAACGCUUCGAAAGGAACGCUAAUACCGCAUACGUCCUACGGGAGAAAGCAGGGGACCUUCGGGCCUUGCGCUAUCAGAUGAGCCUAGGUCGGAUUAGCUAGUUGGUGGGGUAAUGGCUCACCAAGGCGACGAUCCGUAACUGGUCUGAGAGGAUGAUCAGUCACACUGGAACUGAGACACGGUCCAGACUCCUACGGGAGGCAGCAGUGGGGAAUAUUGGACGAUGGGCGAAAGCCUGAUCCAGCCAUGCCGCGUGUGUGAAGAAGGUCUUCGGAUUGUAAAGCACUUUAAGUUGGGAGGAAGGGCAGUAAGUUAAUACCUUGCUGUUUUGACGUUACCGACAGAAUAAGCACCGGCUAACUCUGUGCCAGCAGCCGCAGUAA
This 500-nucleotide ribosomal RNA is filed under the name uncultured bacterium. Its description in RNAcentral is "partial 16S ribosomal RNA". It matches the Rfam family "Bacterial small subunit ribosomal RNA", at positions 30 to 523 of the family's 1533-position model. The record is from RNAcentral.